UCUCGGCAACGGAUAUCUCGGCUCACGCAUCGAUGAAGAACGUAGCAAAAUGCGAUACUUGGUGUGAAUUGCAGAAUCCCGUGAACCAUCGAGUUUUUGAACGCAAGUUGCGCCCGAAGCCAUUCGGUUGAGGGCACGUCUGCCUGGGCGUCACGCAUCGCGUC
RNAcentral lists this ribosomal RNA (164 nucleotides) under Eurybia eryngiifolia. RNAcentral describes it as "5.8S ribosomal RNA". It matches the Rfam family "5.8S ribosomal RNA". Rfam says of the family: 5.8S ribosomal RNA (5.8S rRNA) is a component of the large subunit of the eukaryotic ribosome. Lineage: Eukaryota; Viridiplantae; Streptophyta; Magnoliopsida; Asterales; Asteraceae. The record is from RNAcentral.